CAGCAGCCGCGGGAAAACAGAGGAUGCAAGCGUUAUCCGGAAUGAUUGGGCAUAAAGUGUCUGUAGGUGGCUUUUCAAGUCCGCCGUCAAAUCCCAGGGCUCAACCGUGGACAGGCGGUGGAAACUACCAAGCUGGAGUAUGGUAGGGGCAGAGGGAAUUUCCGGUGGAGCGGUGAAAUGCGUUGAGAUCGGAAAGAACACCAACAGCGAAAUCACUCUGCUAGGCCGACACUGACACUGAGAGACGAAAUCUAGGGGAGCAAAUGGGAUUAGAUACCCGCGUAGUCCCUGUCUCUUAUAC
RNAcentral lists this ribosomal RNA (301 nucleotides) under uncultured bacterium. RNAcentral's name for it is "partial 16S ribosomal RNA". It matches the Rfam family "Bacterial small subunit ribosomal RNA", at positions 509 to 807 of the family's 1533-position model. The record is from RNAcentral.